This 555-nucleotide ribosomal RNA is filed under the name uncultured bacterium. Its description in RNAcentral is "partial 16S ribosomal RNA". It matches the Rfam family "Bacterial small subunit ribosomal RNA", at positions 355 to 900 of the family's 1533-position model. The record is from RNAcentral.
UAGGGAAUCUUCCACAAUGGACGCAAGUCUGAUGGAGCAACGCCGCGUGAGUGAAGAAGGUUUUCGGACCGUAAAGCUCUGUUGUUGGUGAAGAAGGAUAGAGGUAGUAACCGGCCUUUAUUUGACGGUAAUCAACCAGAAAGUCACGGCUAACUACGUGCCAGCAGCCGCGGUAAUACGUAGGUGGCAAGCGUUGUCCGGAUUUAUUGGGCGUAAAGCGAGCGCAGGCGGAAGAAUAAGUCUGAUGUGAAAGCCCUCGGCUUAACCGAGGAAUUGCAUCGGAAACUGUUUUUCUUGAGUGCAGAAGAGGAGAGUAGAACUCCAUGUGUAGCGGUGGAAUGCGUAGAUAUAUGGAAGAAUACCAGUGGCGAAGGCGGCUCUCUGGUCUGCAACUGACGCUGAGGCUCGAAAGCAUGGGUAGCGAACAGGAUUAGAUACCCUGGUAGUCCACGCCGUAAACGAUGAGUGCUAAGUGUUGGGAGGCUUCCGCCUCUCAGUGCUGCAGCUAACGCAUUAAGCACUCCGCCUGGGGGAGUACGACCGCAAGGUUGAAAC